This 349-nucleotide ribosomal RNA is filed under the name uncultured bacterium. RNAcentral's name for it is "bacterial SSU rRNA". It matches the Rfam family "Bacterial small subunit ribosomal RNA", at positions 917 to 1269 of the family's 1533-position model. The record is from RNAcentral.
GGGCCCGCACAAGCGGUGGAGCAUGUGGUUUAAUUCGAUGAUACGCGAGGAACCUUACCAGGGCUUAAAUGUAAGUUGCAUUAGUUAGAGAUAGCUAUUUCUUCGGACCACUUACAAGGUGCUGCAUGGUUGUCGUCAGCUCGUGCCGUGAGGUGUCAGGUUAAGUCCUAUAACGAGCGCAACCCCUGUUGUUAGUUGCCAGCGAGUCAUGUCGGGAACUCUAACAAGACUGCCGGUGCAAACCGUGAGGAAGGUGGGGAUGACGUCAAAUCAUCACGGCCCUUACGUCCUGGCUACACACGUGCUACAAUGGGAAGUACAGAGGGACGCCAAAGCGCGAGCUGGAGCU